This is a long non-coding RNA of Cavia porcellus (domestic guinea pig), 1009 nucleotides long. RefSeq lists it as uncharacterized. The record is from RefSeq and is a predicted model, not a curated record. The transcript is spliced from 3 exons. NCBI's taxonomy places the organism in Eukaryota, Metazoa, Chordata, Mammalia, Rodentia, Caviidae.
CAGGCUCUGGCUAAUAUAUCCAGCUGUAGCCAAUCAGGGGUUGCCACAGAGUCAGCACGGGGCGAAUACGGAGUGAGCACGAGGUGCACACGGGUUGGCUAAUUUAGAGAGGGACGUAGCGCAUUGCGGAAGCUGGCGUGGUCUUAUCGUCCCGGGCGGGGUGUGUUGGGCGCUGUUUCUUUUUUCUUUUUUAUCUAUCAGUACCAGGGACUGAACUUGAAACUACCUGCUUCCAAGGCAGGCGCUUAUGCCGCUGAGCUAAAUCCCCAGCCUCAUGACUGUUUCUUGAUCCUCUUUCAGGCUCGGUCCUCUCAGGACAGUUCCUGUGAGCCGCUUGGUGUUUGGAACAAAUUUUAUCUCUGAGUAAUCUUUUCUUCCUCUGUGCCACCACAGUGACACACAGCAACGGCAGAAGAAUGCCUGACAUACGCGACUACUUCAAACAUGUUCAGUGAUGACCUGAGUGAGUGAACUUGUCCCAUUUCCAGUUAUUUCUCAACAGAGAGUCACAGCUGCUGGAACACGGCUCUCUGUGUGGAGACAGCCUGAUGCCUUCCGUACCUUCCCAAGAUCAUUGUGUGAAUAUCAGAGCCACUCAGCCUAUGCUAGAGACGAGUGUGUGCCAUCCAAGUGACUAUCAGUGGUACCCUCAACAAGACAAAGAUCUGGGUAAGGAACAGAGACACCUGUGAAGAGUCUAGAGACCGUCAGUGCAGGGUCAGCAUGAUUGCUGGUAUCUUCUGAAGACCAGAUGGCUGGAGAGGUGUCACCGAGGCACUGCAAAGGACCUUCCAAACCCCCAGAGUCAUUGAGGAAGAUGGCACUGCUUCCAAGAAAUUUCAUGAUGGGUCUCCUGUAAGUGGAAGAUAAACUCUGUCAGCACUGUCCAUUCUCUGAUGACCUCUCAUUAUGCAUUUUGUGGCUAACCUGAAGAUGUUAUAGCUUCUUAUUGGUUAAAAAAAGAAAUAAAAUUUGAAUACUAGAAAUCUUGGCAAUGAGAUUCAAGAAA